AACGCACCUUGCACUCCCUGGUAUUCCGGGGAGUACGCCUGUUUCAGCAUCAUAAGUACCAUCGAUCCCCAAAUCUAUUUUGAUUUUUUGAUCGGAUCUGGGCCGUUGCGCGGUUGGGAUCUUUGGUCCCCCCUCCGCGCCGGCCUGAAAUCGAGAUCGCCUCCUCCCUUUACCCCGUUCAAAGGCGUCAUAGUUGGCCUCUUUUGGUCAUCUUUCGCCGAUGUCAGUGGGGUCGAGAUUGGGGCGGGCGAAAAACACAACUCUAAAUUUUUGAUCUGAAAUCAGGCGGGAUUACCCGCUGAACUUAA
This 308-nucleotide unclassified non-coding RNA is filed under the name uncultured fungus. Its description in RNAcentral is "sequence contains ITS2". Lineage: Eukaryota; Fungi. The record is from RNAcentral.